AUUGAACGCUGGCGGCAGGCCUAACACAUGCAAGUCGAGCGGUAGAGAGAAGCUUGCUUCUCUUGAGAGCGGCGGACGGGUGAGUAAUGCCUAGGAAUCUGCCUGGUAGUGGGGGAUAACGUUCGGAAACGGACGCUAAUACCGCAUACGUCCUACGGGAGAAGGCAGGGGACCUUCGGGCCUUACGCUAUCAGAUGAGCCUAGGUCGGAUUAGCUAGUUGGUGAGGUAAUGGCUCACCAAGGCGACGAUCCGUAACUGGUCUGAGAGGAUGAUCAGUCACACUGGAACUGAGACACGGUCCCGACUCCUACGGGAGGCAGCAGUGGGGAAUAUUGGACAAUGGGCGAAAGCCUGAUCCAGCCAUGCCGCGUGUGUGAAGAAGGUCUUCGGAUUGUAAAGCACUUUAAGUUGGGAGGAAGGGUUGUAGAUUAAUACUCUGCAAUUUUGACGUUACCGACAGAAUAAGCACCGGCUAACUCUGUGCCAGCCGCCGCCGUAA
Molecule: ribosomal RNA, 500 nt
Filed under: uncultured bacterium
Lineage: Bacteria
Description: partial 16S ribosomal RNA
Rfam family: Bacterial small subunit ribosomal RNA
Source: RNAcentral